UAACGACUCUCGGCAACGGAUAUCUCGGCUCUUCGCAUCGAUGAAGAACGUAGCGAAAUGCGAUACUUGGUGUGAAUUGCAGAAUCCCGUGAACCAUCGAGUCUUUGAACGCAAGUUGCGCCCGAAGCCUUUAGGCCGAGGGCACGUCUGCCUGGGCGUCACGCA
This 165-nucleotide ribosomal RNA is filed under the name Lancea tibetica. Its description in RNAcentral is "5.8S ribosomal RNA". It matches the Rfam family "5.8S ribosomal RNA". From Rfam's summary of the family: 5.8S ribosomal RNA (5.8S rRNA) is a component of the large subunit of the eukaryotic ribosome. It is transcribed by RNA polymerase I as part of the 45S precursor that also contains 18S and 28S rRNA. Lineage: Eukaryota; Viridiplantae; Streptophyta; Magnoliopsida; Lamiales; Phrymaceae. The record is from RNAcentral.